UGUUGCCACAAUAGAUCUGAUGACGGGAACUUACCGAGAAGCUCGCGCCACGACAAAGUCAUUCGAUCGGAAUGACACAAUAGUACAUUCAACACUAAUCCAUACAUGCCGACGAUUUCUCGCCGGCGCAAUGUGCAUUCAACGAUUUCGUGCUCAUUGUAUCUGCAAGUCGCACUACUUAUCGCAGCUAGCUGCGAUCUUCAUCGAACCAGGACUCUAGUGAUCCACCACGUAGAGUUGUACAAUUUCGCCAAGCAGCGCCGAAGCACCACGAGACUAGGUUAUAUUUCGAUGUCCAAAGCAAGAGUUUGUCGGCGCCAACACUUCGAGGCCGUGUUGAUCUUUAAUGCUCGCAAGCGAGAACGCUCGCUGACGUGACCGCCUAUGUGCACGGAAGAGCACACUCCGACAGACGCCACCUAGCAACCAGACAGUUCCGUAACAUUCAAAACCAAACAUUCGUUCAAUCCAUUCAAUUCAGUCAAAUUACAGUACGUAAUAGGUUGAUCGACAAUGAUCCGCGGUCAGGUUCUCCUAAUCGCACCUUGUUACGACUUUUGCCCGGUUCAAGCCACUGCGAUUAAUGCGGUUCCCAUCAGCGAAGAGAAACUCAACGCCGAAAGUCCCCGCAUUUCUCGAGGCAACUCAGUCCCGGGCAGCGACGGGCGGUGUGUACAAAGGGCAGGGACGUAAUCAGCAUGAGCUAAUGACUCAUACUUACUGGGAAUUCCUCGUUCAAGAGAAAUAAUUUCAAUCCUCUAUUCCAAACACGAAAAGCUUUCAAAAGAUUACCCAGACCUUUCGGCCAAGGUUAAAAACGCUUGCUGCACUUUCCAGUGUAGCGCGCGUGCAGCCCCGAACAUCUAAGGGCAUCACAGACCUGUUAUUACUCAAUCUCAUGCGGUUGAACACCGCUUAUCCCUCUAAGAAGUAGAUACGACCAAACUAUCGCACCACUAGUUAGCAGGUUAGAGUCUCGUUCGUUAUCGGAAUAAACCAGACAGAUCAAUCCACGAACUAAGAACGGCCAUGCACCACCAACCACCAAAUCAAGAAAGAACUAUCAAUCUGUCAAUCAUUAUAGUGUCCGGUCCGGGUGAGAUUUCCCGUGUUGAGUCAAAUUAAGCCGCAGGCUCCACUCCUGGUGGUGCCCUUCCGUCAAUUCCUUUAAGUUUCAGUAGAUGGUCCUUGCGGACGUUGACUAUCUCUGAUUUCUGCCCAGUGCUCUGAAUGUUAACGUGGAGUAAUCUGCUUAAGCGCGGGUAAACGGCGGGAGUAACUAUGACUCUCUUAAGGUAGCCAAAUGCCUCGUCAUCUAAUUAGUGACGCGCAUGAAUGGAUUAACGAGAUUCCCACUGUCCCUAUCUACUAUCUAGCGAAACCACAGCCAAGGGAACGGGCUUGGAAAAAACAGCGGGGAAAGAAGACCCUGUUGAGUUUGACUCUAGUUUGACUCUGUGACGAGUCUUGAGAGACGUAGUAUAAGUGGGAGACUUCGGUCGCAAUUGAAAUACCACUACUUUCAUCGAUUCUUUACUUAUUCGGUAAUGCGAGGAUUGGAGCUCGUUCUCCUUCCUUCUGGUGUUAAGUCUCGGCACUCGGUGCCUUGACGACUCGGACCGAAGACAGUGUCAGGCCGGGAGUUUGACUGGGGCGGUACAUCUAUCAAAACGUAACGUAGGUGUCCUAAGGUGUGCUCAGAGGGGACGGAAACCUCUCGUAGAGCAAAAGGGCAAAAGCCCACUUGAUCUUGAUUUUCAGUACUAAUACAGACCGCGAAAGCGUGGCCUAUCGAUCCUUAAAACCUUGAUGGUUUCAAGUUUGAGGUGUCAGAAAAAUUACCACAGGGAUAACUGGCUUGUGGCAGCCAAGCGUCCAUAGCGACGUUGCUUUUUGAUCCUUCGAUGUCGGCUCUUCCUAUCAUUGCGAAGCAGAAUUCGCCAAGCGUUGGAUUGUUCACCCUCUAAUAGGGAACGUGAGCUGGGUUUAGACCGUCGUGAGACAGGUUAGUUUUACCCUACUGUUGACUGGUUGUUGCAAUAGUAAUCCUACUUAGUACGAGAGGAACCGUAGGUUCGGACCACUGGUUCAUGCGGCUGGUCGAUAGACCAAUGCUGCGAAGCUACCAUCUGUUUGAUUAUAACUGAAAGCCUCUAAGUUAGAAUCGGGGCUAAUAAAGGUAACUAUGUUUUGGCUCCCCGGUGUCGGGAGGCCUUUGUUAAGUAUGCCGCAAGGCUACUGCGUAUGCCCAUAUCUAUGACCUUAUCUGUUCGGGGAAUCCGUUCAGGUUGUCACAACGGAUCAUUCCGUUUCAAUGUCGGGGCGCGAGAUCUCUUGU
RNAcentral lists this ribosomal RNA (2338 nucleotides) under Diabrotica virgifera virgifera (western corn rootworm). RNAcentral describes it as "eukaryotic LSU rRNA". The stretch from base 1040 to 2338 matches the Rfam family "Eukaryotic large subunit ribosomal RNA". Lineage: Eukaryota; Metazoa; Arthropoda; Insecta; Coleoptera; Chrysomelidae. The record is from RNAcentral.